This 254-nucleotide ribosomal RNA is filed under the name uncultured bacterium. Its description in RNAcentral is "partial 16S ribosomal RNA". It matches the Rfam family "Bacterial small subunit ribosomal RNA", at positions 524 to 776 of the family's 1533-position model. The record is from RNAcentral.
CACGUAGGGACCAAGCGUUGUCCGGAUUCAUUGGGCGUAAAGAGCUCGUAGGCGGUUCGAUAAGUCGGGUGUGAAACCUCCAGGCUCAACCUGGAGACGCCACCCGAUACUGUCGUGACUAGAGUCCAGUAGGGGAGCGUGGAAUUCCUGGUGUAGCGGUGAAAUGCGCAGAUAUCAGGAGGAACACCAGCGGCGAAGGCGGCGCUCUGGGCUGGAACUGACGCUGAGGAGCGAAAGCGUGGGGAGCAAACAGG